UAACCAUGCAGCCAUCGCUCAAGUACUGCAAAGUAUUAUGAAGCUCUUUUUAAGGGAAGGAAAUCCCAUCCCCAACGUAUCAGAGUUUCUGAUGCACAUCCAUCAGCAAUAUGACCACCUAAGGACUUGUUUACAACCAAACAUCAACCUUUCUUCGCCUGAUGCCGGAGUAGCACAGUGUUUCCAACAUCUGCAUGAAUUUUUGAACAAUCAUCCGAACACUAUCUGCACUUGGCAGAUGCUGAGCCGCGAUUCCAUGGUGAUGCUUCAACUACUUGAACAGAAGAAGGGAAAGCACCGUAGCCUUCUGUGAACGAA
Long non-coding RNA from Gekko japonicus, 318 nucleotides. RefSeq lists it as uncharacterized. The transcript is spliced from 3 exons. NCBI's taxonomy places the organism in Eukaryota, Metazoa, Chordata, Lepidosauria, Squamata, Gekkonidae. The record is from RefSeq and is a predicted model, not a curated record.